AGCAUAUCCACCACCGAGCCAGCAGGCACCACCACAAUAUUCCGAUCCACCACCGAGCCAGCAGGCGCAUCCUCCUCAAGGGUAUCAUCAAGGUCCGUACGUUGCACCACCUGCAGCUGAAAAAAAGAGGCAUAAAUGUUGCUGCAAGCGCCUCUACUGUUGGCGUUGUUGUCUGGAUUGUUGCUGCGAGUGCUGCUCCAGUAUUUGAUUUUGAUGAGCGUGAUUCAUCAUUACUCAAAUCACAUCUCUGGGAAUCCUUGUGGGAAAUUGACCUAAUUUGUUUGGUAUCCAUUUAUGUAAUAUAUUAUCUUUUUCAUGUAAUGUGACUUUUAAUUAUUUCAAUUAAAUAUGCAACAAUAAUGGUGUUUUUCUUUCAAAUUAAUCUGUACUUUAUAUUAGUACCUAUGAAUUUUAUGUUUUUGUCA
Molecule: long non-coding RNA, 425 nt
Organism: Populus trichocarpa (black cottonwood)
Lineage: Eukaryota; Viridiplantae; Streptophyta; Magnoliopsida; Malpighiales; Salicaceae
Exons: 2
Source: RefSeq, a predicted model, not a curated record